UACGAAGGGGGCUAGCGUUGUUCGGAAUUACUGGGCGUAAAGCGUGCGCAGGCGGCUUCUCAAGUCAGGGGUGAAAGCCCAGAGCUCAACUCUGGAAUUGCCUUUGAGACUGAGUGGCUUGAGUACGAGAGAGGUGAGUGGAAUUCCCAGUGUAGAGGUGAAAUGCGUAGAUAUCAGGAGGAACACCUGUGGCGAAAGCGGCUCACUGGACCAUAACUGACGCUGAUGCACGAAAGCUAGGGGAGCAAACAGG
RNAcentral lists this ribosomal RNA (253 nucleotides) under uncultured bacterium. RNAcentral describes it as "partial 16S ribosomal RNA". It matches the Rfam family "Bacterial small subunit ribosomal RNA", at positions 524 to 776 of the family's 1533-position model. The record is from RNAcentral.